AUUGAACGCUGGCGGCAUGCCUUACACAUGCAAGUCGAACGGCAGCACGGGUGCUUGCACCUGGUGGCGAGUGGCGAACGGGUGAGUAAUACAUCGGAACGUACCCUAUCGUGGGGGAUAACGCAGCGAAAGCUGUGCUAAUACCGCAUACGCCCUGAGGGGGAAAGCGGGGGAUCGCAAGACCUCGCGCGAUUAGAGCGGCCGAUGCCUGAUUAGCUUGUUGGUGGGGUAAAAGCCCACCAAGGCGACGAUCAGUAGCUGGUCUGAGAGGACGAUCAGCCGCACUGGGACUGAGACACGGCCCAGACUCCUACGGGAGGCAGCAGUGGGGAAUUUUGGACAAUGGGGGCAACCCUGAUCCAGCAAUGCCGCGUGAGUGAAGAAGGCCUUCGGGUUGUAAAGCUCUUUUGUCAGGGAAGAAACACCGGCUCUAACACAGUCCGGGAAUGACGGUACCUGAAGAAUAAGCACCGGCUAACUACGUGCCAGCAGCCGCGGUAA
Molecule: ribosomal RNA, 501 nt
Filed under: uncultured bacterium
Lineage: Bacteria
Description: partial 16S ribosomal RNA
Rfam family: Bacterial small subunit ribosomal RNA
Source: RNAcentral